AUCUCCCCAUAGGUACUUUUUAAAGUAAAUUCAUAUCAAUAUUUGGUAUUAUUAUAGAGCAGAUUUAGUUAAAAACACCCAUUGGGAGCUCAGUAGAUCUUGUUUUGCUACUUAAAACAGGGAAUUCCAUCAAAUGACAUGAAAGUUUAGAAAUGUAUUUGUUAUUUAAAGCAAUAGUGAUUGUAUUUUAUUUGAGUAAUGUUUUUUUACAUGUAGAAUCCCUCAGAGGCCAAACCUCUUUAUUGUGGUUUUGCUUUGAGUGUUACCGUAGAUGAUGUUAAAGUAAUGACUAGGAAACUCCUAAGAACUUGAGAACUUUACUGGUGAAGAGAAACAAAUUCAGAAGUUUACAUCCAGUGUAUUGCUGGGAAUAAUUAUCUCAUAACAAAGUGCAUUUCAGUUUCUAUAUGUAUUUAAAAAAAAACUGACUCAUCAACUUUUGCAAGCACGUGGAAGGUGUUGAUUUUA
RNAcentral lists this long non-coding RNA (468 nucleotides) under Bos taurus (domestic cattle). RNAcentral's name for it is "long non-coding RNA NONBTAT013716". The record is from RNAcentral. Lineage: Eukaryota; Metazoa; Chordata; Mammalia; Artiodactyla; Bovidae.